Molecule: ribosomal RNA, 421 nt
Filed under: uncultured bacterium
Lineage: Bacteria
Description: bacterial SSU rRNA
Rfam family: Bacterial small subunit ribosomal RNA
Source: RNAcentral
UAAGGAAUAUUGGUCAAUGGACGCAAGUCUGAACCAGCCAUGCCGCGUGAAGGAUGAAGGUCCUCUGGAUUGUAAACUUCUUUUAUCUGGGACGAAAACGGGAUUUUUAUCUCAAUUGACGGUACCAGAGGAAUAAGCACCGGCUAACUCCGUGCCAGCAGCCGCGGUAAUACGGAGGGUGCGAGCGUUAUCCGGAUUUACUGGGUUUAAGGGGUGCGUAGGUGGGCUUAUAAGUCAGUGGUGAAAUCUCCGAGCUUAACUUGGAAACUGCCGUUGAUACUAUAGGUCUUGAAUUAUCUGGAGGUAAGCGGAAUAUGUCGUGUAGCGGUGAAAUGCUUAGAUAUGACAUAGAACACCAAUUGCGAAGGCAGCUUACUACAUAUAAAUUGACGCUGAGGCACGAAAGCGUGGGGAUCAAACA